CUGCUCUCCUUUCAGAUGCUCCAUUAAUAACAGCAGAACUAAAGCGAGUUAUGAAGCUCUACAGCUGUGUAGGUGAUGCCGUUUUCUUCCAGGACUCCUUAUGGCUUUAUUCCAGUCCUGUCCGAGGGGAACAGUCAAUCAAUCUGGACGGGAGGUCUGGGAUUUGGAAAUGGAAGGAGACGCCUCACGCCUCAGCGAUUCAUCAACACAUAAAUCUCCAGCCCUGACCCAGGAGAUCAGGAACAGAAACAAUGAAGCCCUGUGAGGGACUGGACUGGCGAUGUGUCCAGCGUUUCUCCGUCUGCGGUCCGAGACAUUGGACAGACUCCAGAUCCUCUCGACCCUACAGAGGACAAGCGGUUUGAAGAAGGGAUGGGUGGUUGAAAAUCUAAUGAUAUAUUUGUACUAAGCAAAAUAAAUUAUUCGCCAGAUGCGUGUUUUUGUUUUAU
Long non-coding RNA from Cyprinus carpio (common carp), 449 nucleotides. NCBI's taxonomy places the organism in Eukaryota, Metazoa, Chordata, Actinopteri, Cypriniformes, Cyprinidae. The record is from Ensembl.